AUUAAACGCUGGCGGCAUGCCUAACACAUGCAAGUCGAACGGUGACGAGGAGCUUGCUCCUCUGAUCAGUGGCGAACGGGUGAGUAACACGUGAGCAACCUGCCCCAGACUCUGGGAUAACAGUUGGAAACAGCUGCUAAUACCGAAUACGAGACGGAGAGGCAUCUCUACCGUCUGGAAAGUUUUCGGUCUGGGAUGGACUCGCGGCCUAUCAGCUAGUUGGUGAGGUAAUGGCUCACCAAGGCGACGACGGGUAGCCGGCCUGAGAGGGCGACCGGCCACACUGGGACUGAGACACGGCCCAGACUCCUACGGGAGGCAGCAGUGGGGAAUAUUGGACAAUGGGCGAAAGCCUGAUCCAGCAAUGCCGCGUGCAGGAUGAAGGCCCUCGGGUCGUAAACUGCUUUUAUGAGUGAAGAAUAUGACGGUAACUCAUGAAUAAGCACCGGCUAACUACGUG
RNAcentral lists this ribosomal RNA (460 nucleotides) under uncultured bacterium. RNAcentral's name for it is "bacterial SSU rRNA". It matches the Rfam family "Bacterial small subunit ribosomal RNA", at positions 30 to 507 of the family's 1533-position model. The record is from RNAcentral.